Molecule: ribosomal RNA, 377 nt
Filed under: uncultured bacterium
Lineage: Bacteria
Description: bacterial SSU rRNA
Rfam family: Bacterial small subunit ribosomal RNA
Source: RNAcentral
GUAGUCCAUGCCGUAAACGGUGGGCGCUAGGUGUGAGGGUCUUUCUACGACUUUCGUGCCGUAGCUAACGCAUUAAGCGCCCCGCCUGGGGAGUACGGCCGCAAGGCUAAAACUCAAAGGAAUUGACGGGGGCCCGCACAAGCGGCGGAGCAUGUGGAUUAAUUCGAUGCAACGCGAAGAACCUUACCUGGGCUUGACAUACACCAGAUUGGGCUAGAGAUAGUUCGUCCCUUUGUGGUUGGUGUACAGGUGGUGCAUGGUUGUCGUCAGCUCGUGUCGUGAGAUGUUGGGUUAAGUCCCGCAACGAGCGCAACCCUUGUCUUAUGUUGCCAGCAUUUGGUUGGGGACUCAUGAGAGACUGCCAGUGAUAUACUGGA